UACGAAGGGGGCUAGCGUUGCUCGGAAUGACUGGGCGUAAAGGGCGCGUAGGCGGAUGGCACAGUCAGAUGUGAAAUUCCCGGGCUUAACCUGGGGGCUGCAUUUGAUACGUGUUGUCUAGAGUGAGGAAGAGGGUUGUGGAAUUCCCAGUGUAGAGGUGAAAUUCGUAGAUAUUGGGAAGAACACCGGUGGCGAAGGCGGCUCACUGGCUCGUAUCUGACGCUCAGGCGCGACAGCGUGGGGAUCAAACAGG
RNAcentral lists this ribosomal RNA (253 nucleotides) under uncultured bacterium. Its description in RNAcentral is "partial 16S ribosomal RNA". It matches the Rfam family "Bacterial small subunit ribosomal RNA", at positions 524 to 776 of the family's 1533-position model. The record is from RNAcentral.